Molecule: ribosomal RNA, 253 nt
Filed under: uncultured bacterium
Lineage: Bacteria
Description: partial 16S ribosomal RNA
Rfam family: Bacterial small subunit ribosomal RNA
Source: RNAcentral
UACAGAGGUCCCAAGCGUUGUUCGGAUUCAUUGGGCGUAAAGGGUGCGUAGGCGGCGCGGUAAGUCGGGUGUGAAAUCUCGGAGCUUAACUCCGAAACUGCAUUUGAUACUGCCGUGCUUGAGGACUGGAGAGGAGACUGGAAUUUACGGUGUAGCGGUGAAAUGCGUAGAUAUCGUAAGGAAGACCAGUGGCGAAGGCGGGUCUCUGGACAGUUCCUGACGCUGAGGCGCGAAAGCUAGGGGAGCAAACAGG